Molecule: long non-coding RNA, 1291 nt
Organism: Xiphias gladius (swordfish)
Lineage: Eukaryota; Metazoa; Chordata; Actinopteri; Istiophoriformes; Xiphiidae
Exons: 4
Source: RefSeq, a predicted model, not a curated record
CUUCGCGUUUGACAGGUGUAAGUGGGCGUGGCCUGUGGGGUUGACGAUAACGUGCUAACGGAAAAACAAACCAACUAACUAACUAACUAACCAACCAACCAGUAAGACGGACUGAAAAUAUCAUCUUCGCGGUGAAAGUACUCAAAACAAUCCAAACCAAAAUAACUAAAGAGCUUCAAGAACUGCCCAAGCGAUAUUUAAUCCAUUUCUCAUUAGUAUCCACCUGUUCCCAGCGGGAGAAAGAGUCCCAGGGCGACAGCUCCAUCCACGCGUCAGGGAGAAGGGCUGUCACAACGGAAACAUCCAGAACACAGGUGACAAGUUUCCCAUCUACCUUCCUGACGUGAACAAACGUCUGCAUCUGUCGGCUGAAUAACUGCUGAGGGAGGUUUUAUUCCCUUGAAACUUUAGCCUGUCAGAGGAGAAUGUGGAGCGGCGGAGCCAGGGCACAUCCUGUUGUCCUCGCGGCACUUCCUGCUCAUGUGGCUCAAUCAGUCUUCCUCGUUACCAUGGCCACUGGAAAACACUGUACUCAUGCUUAAUAGGGACACUAACAGGUAACGCUUGGAUGGUAAUGGAGCGAGUGAUAAGUGAAAAGAUCUGACAAGAGUUUUACAUUUAAAUUUAGCUGGCAUCAGUUUGCCAUUGGCUUCUUAUCUGUGUAAUUUCAAAAACCCAUCUACAGUAUAAGUAGGAUACAUAUUUGCAUGAUAAUUGCAGUCUUGGUAAAUGAGCAUCUGAGCUCCAGUAGAGGUUGAGGUUGGUUUUUAACCCCUUUACAUGCAGUCUCCCCCUUUUGUUUUCUUUUUUAGCAACUUAAGCUCGGGGAAAUCAUCUUAAAACUUUCUACUAUGUUCGAGCUCUUCAUUGAGACACCAUUCCGUCAAACAGAGGUAUUCUGUUAUGCACAUUUCCCCCAAAUUGUAUCCUCAAAUAUUUGGUGUGCUGUACACUAGAAUUUAAAAUUAAGUUUUGUAGAUUUUAACAAUCUUUGGCUGAGCAGCAUGCGUUUUCAUUUACAUACCCGCUGGCAUGUUAAUGGGGUUUCAAGGCAAAAACUGUCCACUUGUAAAUAAUAAUUGAUAAGUCAAUCACUCAGUUAUAUUGAAAGUAACCAGAACAGCCUCUCAUGCCCCAAUGAGGAAGACAAGGCGGCCAAAGAAGUUUGAGGCGUAAGCUUGGUAUUUGAUAAAAAGGUGUGCAUAUGGGCAGAUAUAAUGCCAUAAUAGUCAAUAGUCUUAAGCAUAUAAAUAUGUGUGGCUUGGCUGUGUAUACUGAACACUGCUAUAUA